RNAcentral lists this long non-coding RNA (2047 nucleotides) under Homo sapiens (human). RNAcentral's name for it is "HSALNT0005009". Lineage: Eukaryota; Metazoa; Chordata; Mammalia; Primates; Hominidae. The record is from RNAcentral.
CUGCAAAGACACAGAAGCAAAUGCUCAGUCCUCCUUUCUCCUCUCCCCCUUUCCCUCCUAUCCCUCUCCUUUCAGCCUUUUAUCUCCCCACCUUGCUUCCCUCCUUCUCCCUCUGCCAUGCCUCCUCCACCCCGCCCCUUCAGAGGGAGGCCUCUUUGAUGGUGGUGGCAGUGGGCGGCUGUAGGGAUCCAGGGACUGACCUCAGGUCUGGGGAGAGUAGCUGUUCUGGGGAGAGGGGGAGAAUCAGUCUCAAGCAGAAGUCUGUUCUCCCCUGGGCAGCCUCCUGCAGAGCUCCUCUAGGUCUGAGGAGCCUGUGACAGACCAAGUGCCUGUGCCCUUCCAGAUGAGCCAGGAGAGACAGCAGAGGUGCUCCCUUGGGCGCAACUGGGGGCAGAUGCAGGGAAUGGAUGGACGUUGGGCUACCCUCUUGCUUCCCUUUACCCAUCAACAACCAAGAAGCACACACUGAGCCACUUCCUGAAUACCUACUGUGUGCCAGGGUGGAGAUUCUUUGGGGGAAUCGGACUCUGCCUUGUCCUCAAGGAGCUGGUAUGGAAGAAGUAAGGACCAUCCAGGGUGGCAUCAGAGGCACAGAGCCCAGGCUGAUGGUGUCAACCUUGGUUAGAGCUGGGCAAAGAGGAAGCUGCUCAGGAUUGGAAGGUGGGAGAGAAGCAUCAGCCAUCACUCUCUGAGGUCGCCACAGUCAGAUGGAGUGACAGAUGAAGAGAUGCCUGGUGGGUCCCAGCUUGUCCUCGUUCUUCUCCCUUUGCCUCCAGCUCUUCUCCCUGGCUACCUACCCUGUUGGCCAAUGGCGGCUCAUGCUCAUCACCAGGCAUGUGGCUGCAGACACACGGAGGUGGGAGCCAUGCAGAGGCACCGGCUCUUCACAACCCUCUCUGCCAGCACCCGUUUCAGGGUCCUCCUUUGAUGUUGGGUGUGCUUGGCUUCUCCAAGUGACAGGUUAGUGCCUCCCCUGGGCCUCCAUCUGAUCUUCUGGACCUUUGCUUCCGCAGCUUCCCUCAAUUAUGCAAAUUCUAGGUCUGAUUCCUAGAAUAAAUACUGGAUCUCAAAGCACUCACAGGAUUCUGCUCCCCUGGCUGAACUCUGGUGGAAAUGAUGUCAUGUGACUUCGAAACUAGGCCUUAAGAGUCCUUGCAGUUUUCCCUGUCCUGAGGCCACAUCAUGCUGUGAAAAAACCCAACUUAGCAGAGGCUGAGAAGUUACACGGAGGAGAAUGGAAGAGCCCUGGUCAAUACACACAACUGUGAAAAAAAUAACUCACUGUAGACAUUUUUUUUAGGCUGAGAAAAUAUUUUUCUAUUAAUUGGUUGAUCUGUCAUUAUAUUCCAUUGCAUAGUCAGUGAUAAUAUACUAAGUAAAGUUUAGUGUAACCAUAUUAGAAUAAUCUAAAUUUGAAGAUAUUUAUUAGCUUUAUUAACUUAUACAAAAUAAAAUUCACUGCUUUUUUAUCGUGGUAAAAUAUAGACAACAUACAAUUAACCAUUUCAGCUACUUUUAGGUGUGCAGGUCAGUGGCAUUAGGUACAGUCACAUUGUUGUAUAAACAUCAUCACUAUCCACCUCCAGAACUUUUUCAUCAUUCCAGACAGAAACUCUGUAGCCAUUACACAACAAUUCCCCAUUCCCCCACCCCUUAGUGUAGGUUUUUUUUUCCCCAUUUUUUUUUGAGAAAGGGUCUCACUCUCUCACCUAGGCUGGAGUGCAGUGGCAGGAUCAUGCUCACUGUAACCUCCAACUCCUGGGUUCAAGUGAUCCUCCCACCUCAGCCUCCUGAGUAGCUAGGACUACAGACGUGUGCCACCAAGCCUAGCUUUUUAUUUUAUUUUUUGUAGAGAUGGGAAGGAGGCUGGCUAUGUUGCCCAGGUGCCCUCAGUGUAGUUUUAGGCCACUAAAUUUUGGGGUACGUUGUUACACAGCCGUAGAUAACUGAACAUUCAUACUUGGUGAGGUCAUAUGCUCUAAUUUUCUAGUUUAAAAAAUAGUUUCUCAGGCAAAACUAUGGAGAUGGUAAAAAGAUUUGUGUUUGC